RNAcentral lists this ribosomal RNA (253 nucleotides) under uncultured bacterium. RNAcentral's name for it is "partial 16S ribosomal RNA". It matches the Rfam family "Bacterial small subunit ribosomal RNA", at positions 524 to 776 of the family's 1533-position model. The record is from RNAcentral.
AACGUAGGUGGCGAGCGUUAUCCGGAUUUACUGGGCGUAAAGGGUGUGCAGGCUGCCCCUCAAGUGGUGUAUGAAAGGGCUCGGCUCAACCGGGCUAGGUUAUGCCAGACUGAGGGGCUAGAGAGCGAGAGCGGGACGUGGAAUUCCGGGUGUAGUGGUGAAAUGCGUAGAGAUCCGGAAGAACACCGGUGGCGAAGGCGGUGAGCUGGGCAGUAGCUGACACUGAGGCGCGACAGCGUGGGGAGCAAACAGG